GAUCAUUACCGAGUGAGGGCCCUCUGGGUCCAACCUCCCACCCGUGUUUAUCGUACCUUGUUGCUUCGGCGGGCCCGCCGCAAGGCCGCCGGGGGGCAUCUGCCCUCUGGCCCGCGCCCGCCGAAGACACCAUUGAACGCUGUCUGAAGAUUGCAGUCUGAGCAAUUAGUUAAAUAACUUAAAACUUUCAACAACGGAUCUCUUGGUUCCGGCAUCGAUGAAGAACGCAGCGAAAUGCGAUACGUAAUGUGAAUUGCAGAAUUCAGUGAAUCAUCGAGUCUUUGAACGCACAUUGCGCCCCCUGGUAUUCCGGGGGGCAUGCCUGUCCGAGCGUCAUUGCUGCCCUCAAGCACGGCUUGUGUGUUGGGCUCCGUCCUCCUUCCGGGGGGACGGGCCCGAAAGGCAGCGGCGGCACCGCGUCCGGUCCUCGAGCGUAUGGGGCUUCGUCACCCGCUCUGCAGGCCCGGCCGGCGCUUGCCGACACAUCAAUCUUUUUUCCAGGUUGA
This 506-nucleotide unclassified non-coding RNA is filed under the name Penicillium citreosulfuratum. Its description in RNAcentral is "sequence contains 18S rRNA gene, ITS1, 5.8S rRNA gene, ITS2, 28S rRNA gene". The stretch from base 183 to 336 matches the Rfam family "5.8S ribosomal RNA". Lineage: Eukaryota; Fungi; Ascomycota; Eurotiomycetes; Eurotiales; Aspergillaceae. The record is from RNAcentral.